RNAcentral lists this ribosomal RNA (120 nucleotides) under Clytia hemisphaerica. The record is from RNAcentral. Lineage: Eukaryota; Metazoa; Cnidaria; Hydrozoa; Leptothecata; Clytiidae.
ACGCAGGUCCAUACCACGAUGAAAACACCCGAUCUCGUCCGAUCUCGGAAGUUAAGCAUCGUCGGGCCGGGAUAGUACUUGGAUAUAGAUAUAGCGACCGUAGUACAGUGGUAGAGCAUC